Molecule: ribosomal RNA, 233 nt
Filed under: uncultured bacterium
Lineage: Bacteria
Description: partial 16S ribosomal RNA
Rfam family: Bacterial small subunit ribosomal RNA
Source: RNAcentral
UGAGGAACAUGACCUUCGGCGGGGGAUAGCCGGCCCAACGGCCGGGUAAUACCGCGUACGACCACAUGGGGACAUCCCUGGGUGGUGAAAGCAGCAAUGCGCCGAUGGAGUGCCUCGCGGCCUAUCAGCUAGUUGGUGGGGUAAUGGCUCACCAAGGCGACGACGGGUAGCUGGUCUGAGAGGAUGGCCAGCCACAUUGGGACUGAGACACGGCCCAGACUCCGUAGGGACGG